RNAcentral lists this ribosomal RNA (253 nucleotides) under uncultured bacterium. RNAcentral's name for it is "partial 16S ribosomal RNA". It matches the Rfam family "Bacterial small subunit ribosomal RNA", at positions 524 to 776 of the family's 1533-position model. The record is from RNAcentral.
UACGUAGGUGGCAAGCGUUGUCCGGAUUUACUGGGCGUAAAGAGCGCGCAGGCGGUCGUUCAAGUCGCGUGUGAAAGCCCCCGGCUCAACUGGGGAGGGUCACGCGAUACUGAUCGACUCGAAGGCAGGAGAGGGUAGUGGAAUUCCCGGUGUAGUGGUGAAAUGCGUAGAUAUCGGGAGGAACACCAGUGGCGAAGGCGGGUCUCUGGACAGUUCCUGACGCUGAGAAGCGAAAGCAUGGGGAGCGAACAGG